This is a non-coding RNA of Paramormyrops kingsleyae, 800 nucleotides long. The record is from RefSeq and is a predicted model, not a curated record. Lineage: Eukaryota; Metazoa; Chordata; Actinopteri; Osteoglossiformes; Mormyridae.
AAUGCUAGCAGUAGUGAGAAAAUGGUGAUUAAAAAAACACCAAACAAUAUGACUUAAAGAUAAUAUAAUUUCAUUGUUGGAAAGGCUGCCUCUGAAACGGGAUGCUGACGCGCAUGCGUCUGGAACAGCGUCAGGAGCGUCUUUGGAUUUUCAGCGUGCGUUGUCCCUUUGUGCCGCACCAGACCAUCUUAUCCAGAGCCGAGGGAUCCUGGCCAGUCAGUUAUUAUGUUCAGGGGUGCAGUAUUGUGCGUCACUGACGAACCCUCACCCGUCUGGAGUGCCUGCAUCUCCUCCAGGGAGUUCACCUCCUGCCACAACUUGCUGAUUUGAGACUUAAUUGACAUCAUCUUCAUCCGCUGCUGCAUCUCAAUUGGAAAUUCGACCGGACAAAGCAGCAAAUUAGCAUGGGGGAAACCAGCAACUAGGCAAGACUGUGCUUCAUUAAUUCUGGCAGCACUGAAAUCCCGAGCUGCCAGUGGGAGCCGUUUACCUCUCUGUCCGGCCGGAGCUGCCCUUCUGGUCCGAGACGGCAGCCCACCUCCAGGCUGGAGCAAGGCGCCACUGAUGACCAGGACGACUGCAAGAGCAGAACCCACCAUUUUUCAGUCACUGCUCUCUGCAGAUACUGCUGGAAUACCAGCCAGUGCUUCAUGUUGAUCAAAAAUGGCCCAGACAGCUGGCUAAAUAUGGGAUGGAUGUUUGCAUUGGCAGAAACUCAUUGGUCUGUACUGUGUGUGUCAAAUACACAGGGUGGAUAGGUAACAGACAGCGCUCUGUUUUGGUCCAUUCAUAAAUAUUUA